Mauremys mutica (yellowpond turtle) is the source of this 654-nucleotide long non-coding RNA. RefSeq lists it as uncharacterized. The record is from RefSeq and is a predicted model, not a curated record. NCBI's taxonomy places the organism in Eukaryota, Metazoa, Chordata, Testudines, Geoemydidae. The transcript has 4 exons.
CUCAGCAAUUUUUUUCAUGUUUUUAAUCUAUGAUUUCAUACAUUUUGUGCUCAUAGGUGUAUAGAUUCCACCAUUUAUAGCUAUCCAGAAAGGGAUGGUUUGAAUGUAGGAAGAAGUUUGUAGACUGUGUUGAUGGAGGUAAUGGUGCCUGGAUCCCUUAUGUCCUUUGGGGUUUUUUCUAAGCUACUGCUCUAGAAGGAGACAGCCACCUCCAUGCCUUUGACCCUGGUGAACUGUUUACCUUCAUCUUUUUCUGCAUGUCUUGACAAGACAGAGACAACGUACCUUUUGAAAAACACCUGAAGAACAAAGGAAGCAGCAUUCAACUGGAUGAGGGAUCCUGACUGAAAGAAGUUCAGCCAGUAGGACUGCUGAACCAUGAGCCAACAGUUGAAGAUAGACCCAGCGCAGCCUCGAAACGACCUCCUUUUGUUCAGCACUAUCCCUCAUCAUGGGUGCAUGACAUGGAAGAAGAAUGUUCAGGCUGCAGAUAUGGAUAGUGAAUGUACAUGGAGUUCUUCACAGGAAGUCUUCAUGCUGCCAUAAGACAGACAGUCCAGGGCUGUGCACAACUCACUCAAGUAAUUUGACUGGACAAGUUGAAAAAAAGCAGCAAAUGCUCCCAAUGACUGGGGGUGGAUGGGUCACUACAAA